CUCUCCUAGUCCUGUCUUUUACAGACGCCUGUCAGCAGAUGCAAGGUGUGAGUGGGUUUCAGUCUGCUUGCUGGUUCUGUCUCAUAAGCGAGAAACUUUUUGCCCACUAAGCUCUUUUCUCUGCCUUGUUUUUCACCACAUGUGUCACGGCCAGAUUAAAUCAGCAACCCCUAAUAAACAGCAGAUGAGGAGAAAUGACCAGAACUCUCAUGGGACAGUCACUCGGGGACUUCCUGUAAAACACAGGUAGUCAGCAUAAAGCGAACAGAAAUGGCCCUCCGUACCAGAGUUCAGACGGAGGAGCACUGCAGCUGCAGAAGAUGAUUCAUCAAUAACAGCACAAUGAGGAGCAUACACUGCAGCCUCCCUCCAUUCUGUCCCACUCCUCCUCCUCCGUUCUCUUGCUCUAUCUCAAUCAGCCAGCUGUGCUUAACUGCAGGCUCUCUAGGCCGCAAUGUUGACAUGACCUGCUCCGAAUGGCAGGCAACCUAAACAAUGCCGCAAACAGGCCGGCGCAUAUCUGGCACACAGGCGCUGCACAGGGAGGAGGAGUAACACAAAGAAAAGAAGGGGAGGGAGAAAAAGGAAAAGAAAAACAACCAGGCGACCAAUGGCCGGGCCGGAAACUCUGCUUUUUCCAGCAGUAGCGCAGCAGCGCAGGGUUAAGUUUUGGCUUGGUUUGAUUUUGCUGAUGCCAGGAAAAACUCCAGUGGAGAGAAUCGCUAACUGAUCGCUUGAGGUGGCCUCAUGUAGAAGGACACUUACUGGUGCAUCGUUCUACUGUGCAGUGUUGGUUGGAAGAAUGGAAGAAUCCUCAACCUGUAACCUCAAAUCAGCAUCUGGAGUAUGCAAAGCAUCAUGUAGAUCAGCCAGAGGCAUUUUGGAAACAAGUUCUGUGGAAUGAUGAAGUGAAAUGGAACAAAAGCACAAAAGCUUCAUUUGGAGAUCAAAAGAGCAGCAUAUGAUGAAAAGAACACCGUGCAAGCUGUUAAGCAUGGGGGUAGACCUGUGGUGCUUUGGGGUUGUGUGGCAGCCAGUGGCACAGGAAACAUUGCUCAGGUACACAGAAGAAUGUAUUCCACUACAAAUCAGCAAAUUUCUGAAGCAAAUGUGAUAGUAUAGCUUUUUCUGGAAUGCCCUCAUAGUGAACUGACUUGAACAUUAUUGAAAAUCUGUGGAGGGUAGAUCCCCAACAUGCUGUUCAUGGAAGCCCAAGAAUACUGCAGAACUACAAGCAUUCCACAAGGAAGAAAAAUUCCUAAAACAAGACAAGAAAACUCCAAUCUGGCCAUAAAAAGUGUUUGCAUGCCGUGAUAUACAUACAAUCAGGCUUAACAUUCUGACCACCCCCUUGUUUCUCCACUCAUUGUUCAUUUUAUCAGCUCCACUUACUGUAUAGCUGCA
Molecule: long non-coding RNA, 1404 nt
Organism: Pygocentrus nattereri (red-bellied piranha)
Lineage: Eukaryota; Metazoa; Chordata; Actinopteri; Characiformes; Serrasalmidae
Exons: 3
Source: RefSeq, a predicted model, not a curated record